Molecule: long non-coding RNA, 243 nt
Filed under: Lathyrus oleraceus (garden pea)
Lineage: Eukaryota; Viridiplantae; Streptophyta; Magnoliopsida; Fabales; Fabaceae
Description: Pisum sativum (pea) long non-coding RNA (PSAT_LNC008845)
Source: RNAcentral
AAAAGAAUAAGGGUAAAGUUCAGCAAAAGUCUUAUGGUGAUGAUGUUCCUACUGUUAGGCGUUACCAAUUGUCGCGGCGAAGAAUCGGAGACCAAGCUAUUGAUUAGACUUUACUCAUGAAUCGAAAUAUCACCAUCGAACUUUAAUUUAUCCAAGGGGAGGGGAAAAGAUUCAAAAAUAACCCAAUAUGUAUAUGCAAAGCUAUAAGAUUAAACUUAAGCUAAGAUAAAAGGGGGGGAGAUU